This 292-nucleotide ribosomal RNA is filed under the name uncultured bacterium. RNAcentral's name for it is "partial 16S ribosomal RNA". It matches the Rfam family "Bacterial small subunit ribosomal RNA", at positions 505 to 796 of the family's 1533-position model. The record is from RNAcentral.
GUGCCAGCAGCCGCGGUAAGACAGAGGGGGCAAGCGUUGUCCGGAUUUACUGGGCGUACAGCGCGCGCAGGCGGUCGUAUAGGUACCUGGUGACAGUCUCGGGCUCAACUCGAGGGGGUCUGGGUAGACCGUACGACUGGAGGCAGGGAGAGGGAUGUGGAAUACCCGGUGGAGCGGUGAAAUGCGUAGAGAUCGGGUGGAACACCAGUGGCGAAGGCGGCAUCCUGGCCCUGACCUGACGCUGAGGCGCGAGAGCGUGGGGAGCAAACGGGAUUAGAUACCCCCGUAGUCC